UUUCAGAUGGGCUCACGGCCUAUCAGCUUCGUUGGUGAGGUAAUCGGCUUACCAAGGCGAACGACGGGUAGCCGGCCUGAGAAGGGUCGACCGGCCACACUGGGACUGAGACACGGCCCAGACUCCUACGGGAGGCAGCAGUGGGGAAUAUUUGCACAAUGGGCGCAAGCCUGAUGCAGCGACCCUCCGUGAGGGAUGACGGCCUUCGGGUUUGUAAACCUCUGUUAGCAUCGAAGAAACGAAAGUUGACGGUAGGUGCAGAGAAAGCCCCGGCUAACUACGUUGCCAGCAGCCGCGGUAAUACGUAGGGCGCGAGCGUUGUCCGGAAUUAUUGGGCGUAAAGAGCUUGUAGGCGGUUGGUCGCGUCCUGCUGUGAAAGGCUGGGGCUUAACCCUGGUUUUGCAGUGGGUACGGGCUAACUAGAGUGCAGUAGGGGAGACUGGAAUUCCUGGUGUAGCGGUGGAAUGCGCAGAUAUCAGGAGGAACACCGAUGGCGAAGGCAGGUCUCUGGGCUGUAACUGACGCUGAGAAGCGAAAGCAUGGGGAGCGAACAGGAUUAGAUACCCUGGUAGUCCAUGCCGUAAACGUUGGGCACUAGGUGUGGGGGACAUUCCACGUUUUCCGCGCCGUAGCUAACGCAUUAAGUGCCCCGCCUGGGGAGUACGGCCGCAAGGCUAAAACUCAAAGAAAUUGACGGGGGCCCGCACAAGCGGCGGAGCAUGCGGAUUAAUUCGAUGCAACGCGAAGAACCUUACCAAGGCUUGACAUAUACUGGACUGCGUCAGAGAUGGCGUUUCCCUUCGGGGCUGGUAUACAGGUGGUGCAUGGUUGUCGUCAGCUCGUGUCGUGAGAUGUUGGGUUAAGUCCCGCAACGAGCGCAACCCUCGUUCUAUGUUGCCAGCACGUGAUGGUGGGGACUCAUAGGAGACUGCCGGGGUCAACUCGGAGGAAGGUGGGGAUGACGUCAAAUCAUCAUGCCCCUUAUGUCUUGGGCUUCACGCAUGCUACAAUGGCCGGUACAGAGGGUUGCGAUACUGUGAGGUGGAGCUAAUCCCUAAAAGCCGGUCUCAGUUCGGAUUGGGGUCUGCAACUCGACCCCAUGAAGUCGGAGUCGCUAGUAACCGCAGAUCAGCAACGCUGCGGUGAAUACGUUCCCGGGCCUUGUACACACCGCCCGUC
This 1179-nucleotide ribosomal RNA is filed under the name uncultured bacterium. Its description in RNAcentral is "bacterial SSU rRNA". It matches the Rfam family "Bacterial small subunit ribosomal RNA", at positions 219 to 1398 of the family's 1533-position model. The record is from RNAcentral.